Long non-coding RNA from Felis catus (domestic cat), 1378 nucleotides. RefSeq lists it as uncharacterized. The record is from RefSeq and is a predicted model, not a curated record. Lineage: Eukaryota; Metazoa; Chordata; Mammalia; Carnivora; Felidae. The transcript has 3 exons.
UGACCUGAGCCCAAGUCGGAUGCUCAACCGACUGAGCCACCCAGGUACCCCAUCCUUAGAACUUUUAAUUCAAAGUAAAAGAACUUUGCUUCACCACCCGUCUGGGAAUUCCAGGUAAAUAUCUAACUGGACCACCAUGAGCCCUAGCCCAUCCUUGUAGCCAGCAUGUGUGGGCACUGUGACCGACAGCCCCUCCAAACCCCAUGGACCUGGGAAGAAUCCCCCAGGGGAAGGGAGUGGGAGAUGCAAAUUCCAAGAGAAGUAAGGAGGGAGACACUCUAGGCAGACAAAGCCAACACUUCUCUAGAGAGAGGCAUUAUUAAUAAUGAAAAUGGCAACAUUGCUAAUAACUGUGAUUUAUUAUAUACAGGUGCCAUCUAAGCCUUUCACACUGUUUAUCUCAAAGCCAUUCUACAGGUACUAAGGAUCAGAGCCAUUAAGUGACCCAACCAAGAGCAAAGUAAAUGACUGACAAGGAAGAGGCUAAGACUUGAUGGACUAUAAUGGAAAAGGGACAAAUGCAUUGAGGUGAUUUAAACUUAGACCUGCCCACUGAUAACAUGCUUGACUUUUUUUUUUUUCUCAAAAAAAGUGUUGAACUCUGCAGCGAGAAGAUGAAAAGAUGCCUUACGGCAAGGAGAUUGCAAGUCUCAGGAGUUGGAGAAAGGAGGAGGCUGAGUCUUUAGGCCAGAGCUUUUACUGCAUCAGAGAGAAAUGAGGCGCAACUGACAAAUGACCUCUCUUAUAUCAAGAACCCCAAACGCCGAAGUCAAAUAACGGAAAAGGCCCCCGUCAACCUACAACAAAUUUCAAAGCUGGCAGAUUGAAUUUAAACUUUGCAAUAAUUUAUGUUAAUCACUUGAGAAUAUGGAUGUCUAAAUAAUGAAAACUUGCUAUUUAAUGCAUCUGUGUUUGCUUUUCAGUUACUUACUAAGAAGAUAAAGGCCAGUUCUUUCUUCAGGGUUGUCCUCCUGGGUUAGCUGAAAGUCCGCUGAGAUCAGAGACUCAGAAGAGGAAACGAGUAGCAGUAAUGAAGCAACACAUAUUUCGUCCUGUGUGCUGGCAGCCCUUUCAGUUUGUCAGUUUGACUAAUGUGAAGCAGAUGCAGGCAGUUAACUAUAUCAAGAUGUGCCUCGGCACCAGGGGCAGCGGAGGUGAUGUUGCAACUCCGGUCAGAGAGCUAGGAUCUUGCUCCAGCAAGUAUUGAGGAAACCGACUGUGUAUGUUGAAGGCAGAGGAGACAGAAGAAAAUCCUGGUUUGGGGGCUUCUCCCUGUCCAGUGUCAUAACUGCAUGAAAGAAUUUAGCCACUGUUGGCAACAGCUGGAACCGGGCUUCAUCAGGUAGUCUUUUAAAUGAUCAUUAAGUAUAGCAAGCGA